GAACAGAGGAAUGAAGGUAACCAUUCGUGAGCUUAGAAUUAUAAGGUUAUAUCUCCACUUUUGGUCGACAUUGAGUUUUUGACACAAUCUGAUCCAUUAGGUGUUUAUUACAGUAAUGCCUGUGUGAUGUUA
This is a long non-coding RNA of Etheostoma spectabile (orangethroat darter), 132 nucleotides long. RefSeq lists it as uncharacterized. The record is from RefSeq and is a predicted model, not a curated record. The transcript has 3 exons. Lineage: Eukaryota; Metazoa; Chordata; Actinopteri; Perciformes; Percidae.